GACGAACGCUGGCGGCGUGCUUAACACAUGCAAGUCGAACGGAAAGGCCCUGCUUUUGUGGGGUGCUCGAGUGGCGAACGGGUGAGUAACACGUGAGUAACCUGCCCUUGACUUUGGGAUAACUUCAGGAAACUGGGGCUAAUACCGGAUAGGAGCUCCUGCUGCAUGGUGGGGGUUGGAAAGUUUCGGCGGUUGGGGAUGGACUCGCGGCUUAUCAGCUUGUUUGUGGGGUAGUGGCUUACCAAGGCUUUGACGGGUAGCCGGCCUGAGAGGGUGACCGGCCACAUUGGGACUGAGAUACGGCCCAGACUCCUACGGGAGGCAGCAGUGGGGAAUAUUGCACAAUGGGCGGAAGCCUGAUGCAGCAACGCCGCGUGCGGGAUGACGGCCUUCGGGUUGUAAACCGCUUUCGCAGGUGACGAAGCGUGAGUGACGGUAAUGGGUAAAGAAGCACCGGCUAACUACGUG
This 468-nucleotide ribosomal RNA is filed under the name uncultured bacterium. RNAcentral's name for it is "partial 16S ribosomal RNA". It matches the Rfam family "Bacterial small subunit ribosomal RNA", at positions 28 to 507 of the family's 1533-position model. The record is from RNAcentral.